Molecule: ribosomal RNA, 253 nt
Filed under: uncultured bacterium
Lineage: Bacteria
Description: partial 16S ribosomal RNA
Rfam family: Bacterial small subunit ribosomal RNA
Source: RNAcentral
UACGAAGGGGGCUAGCGUUGCUCGGAAUCACUGGGCGUAAAGCGCACGUAGGCGGAUAUUUAAGUCAGGGGUGAAAUCCCAGAGCUCAACUCUGGAACUGCCUUUGAUACUGGGUAUCUCGAGUAUGGAAGAGGUGAGUGGAAUUCCGAGUGUAGAGGUGAAAUUCGUAGAUAUUCGGAGGAACACCAGUGGCGAAGGCGGCUCACUGGUCCAUUACUGACGCUGAGGUGCGAAAGCGUGGGGAGCAAACAGG